UUUGCAUUGACAUUGCUAUGUUCACUAUUUUGUUUUUUAUGGGGACAUUCUAAUAAACCUUCCUUAUAGUUGUUGAUAAUUUUUUGAGGAUGUUUAUGAUACUAGAACAUACUCUCUUUGCAUGAGCGGCUGUCGAGACCAUAAUGUCUCCAACUCUCAGCCAUAUUUUGAACUCAAUAAUCUUGAUUCUUAACUUCAUUUUUAUAGAGAAGUGCCAAGAAUGUGGGAAUCUACAAGGAUAUCAUAUGAAAAUUAUGAAGGACUCAAAACAGUGCCCGGAACACAGGAUGCCAUACCUAAGACAGAUGGGAAAUGCAAAUGAAUCAAAGGGUAUGGCGCCAAGUUGUUGCAUAGGCAUAUGCUGAAAAUGCAUGCACAUAAUGGUCAAGCUCAGCCUUGCCCUACUUGUCAACUGUCUCCAAAGGUAAACAGCUACUUUGUUCAAAAUGGUACAGAGGACUAGCAUGUAUGAUAGGAUGGAUGUAGAUGUGUGUCUGCAUGAAGAGACCAAUGAAAUAUUGUUCCUUGUCAUUUGCCUUUUAAAAUUGUGUUGGCAUUCAGGACUUUUGCCCAUAUACGUUUUGAUUCAUUGUUUGACCUUUUUAUUAUGUUUGUUUUGUUUAUGGCAUUCCAAUAGUUAUUAGCAAAUAACUGAGAUUAAAUAGCAAUGAGCUGUGACUUGAUUGAAUUUCAUCAGUGUUAUUGUUUAUUUGGAUAUUAUAUAAUGUAUAAAACAAUUACUGAUAUCUAGGUCACUUUAUUUAUCAUUUGAAAAAUGGAACAAUCUUGGGCUAAACCACAUUAGUGGAUUUUCUUAGUGGACUCCUCACUCUGUUUUAUUGUUUGAACAAAGGCAAGAUUGGACUCAAU
This 870-nucleotide long non-coding RNA is filed under the name Sorghum bicolor (sorghum). Its description in RNAcentral is "long non-coding RNA (SBIC_LNC003834)". Lineage: Eukaryota; Viridiplantae; Streptophyta; Magnoliopsida; Poales; Poaceae. The record is from RNAcentral.